AUGCGAACCUGCGAGGGGGAGCGAACCCCAGAAAAGCUGUCCCAGUUCGGAUUGUAGUCUGCAACCCGACUACAUGAAGCUGGAAUCGCUAGUAAUCGCGAAUCAGAAUGUCGCGGUGAAUACGUUCCCGGGUCUUGUACACACCGCCCGUCACACCAUGGGAGCCGGAAAUGCCCGAAGUCAGUGGCCCAACCGCAAGGAGGGAGCUGCCGAAGGUGGAGCUGGUGACUGGGGUGAAGUCGUAACAAGGUAAC
RNAcentral lists this ribosomal RNA (254 nucleotides) under uncultured bacterium. RNAcentral describes it as "partial 16S ribosomal RNA". It matches the Rfam family "Bacterial small subunit ribosomal RNA", at positions 1247 to 1500 of the family's 1533-position model. The record is from RNAcentral.